Molecule: long non-coding RNA, 590 nt
Organism: Helianthus annuus (common sunflower)
Lineage: Eukaryota; Viridiplantae; Streptophyta; Magnoliopsida; Asterales; Asteraceae
Exons: 2
Source: RefSeq, a predicted model, not a curated record
GGGUUAAAACUAUAGAUGAUCACGUCUUAACAAAACAUCGGACGGCUCACAAUGCAUCCCCAUCACCAUCUCUCCAUACCUUUCUCCUAUAAAUCCACAACACCACAUCUUAAACCCCAACACUCAAACCCUCAAAACCCUAAACCACUUUCAUCUACAACCCCUUUUCCAGAUCGUCAUAAGUGCACAUUCACCGUCAUUUAUAUCAAGGUAGCGAAACUCUCUUUUCAAUCAAUAAUUAUCACCGAUGAUUUACAAACCAUUGGGGCGAAAUAACGCAUAUUCGUAAAACCCAAAUGUAAAUCGUUGAAAAUCAAGCCGACUUCGUGAUCACAAUGGUUGAGCCGCCCUUUAUUGGGCGGAUCCUGUUGACGGAGAUGGCGUUGUCACAUCCUAUCGCCUUGGGGAGCAGAGUCUCUGCUAUGAGCUCUUGGGACUGGCCGUGAGAAAAACAUUUUUAAUGUUGUUUUGUUACUGUGAGGAAAUUUGUAUAAAAGAACACUAUCUUUUGGGACUGAUUUACCUUUUCAAAAGGUUCUGAAUUUCUGAUGCUAUUUCUGCAAUUCUGAGCCCGUUUUUGUUAUUGGUUU